RNAcentral lists this transfer RNA (74 nucleotides) under Nocardiopsis composta. It matches the Rfam family "tRNA". From Rfam's summary of the family: Transfer RNA (tRNA) molecules are approximately 80 nucleotides in length. Their secondary structure includes four short double-helical elements and three loops (D, anti-codon, and T loops). Lineage: Bacteria; Bacillati; Actinomycetota; Actinomycetes; Streptosporangiales; Nocardiopsidaceae. The record is from Rfam by way of RNAcentral.
GGGGCCGUAGCCCAACCGGCAGAGGCAACCGUUUUAGGGGCGGUCCAGUGCGGGUUCGAAUCCCGCCGGCCCUA